GAUGAACGCUGGCGGCGUGCCUAAUACAUGCAAGUCGAGCGAACAGACGAGGAGCUUGCUCCUCUGACGUUAGCGGCGGACGGGUGAGUAACACGUGGAUAACCUACCUAUAAGACUGGGAUAACUUCGGGAAACCGGAGCUAAUACCGGAUAAUAUAUUGAACCGCAUGGUUCAAUAGUGUAAGACGGUUUUGCUGUCACUUAUAGAUGGAUCCGCGCCGCAUUAGCUAGUUGGUAAGGUAACGGCUUACCAAGGCAACGAUGCGUAGCCGACCUGAGAGGGUGAUCGGCCACACUGGAACUGAGACACGGUCCAGACUCCUACGGGAGGCAGCAGUAGGGAAUCUUCCGCGAUGGGCGAAAGCCUGACGGAGCAACGCCGCGUGAGUGAUAAAGAUCUUCGGAUCGUAAAACUCUGUUAUUAGGGAAGAACAAAUGUGUAAGUAACUAUGCACGUCUUGACGGUACCUAAUCAGAAAGCCACGGCUAACUACGUG
Molecule: ribosomal RNA, 497 nt
Filed under: uncultured bacterium
Lineage: Bacteria
Description: partial 16S ribosomal RNA
Rfam family: Bacterial small subunit ribosomal RNA
Source: RNAcentral